RNAcentral lists this ribosomal RNA (1509 nucleotides) under uncultured bacterium. RNAcentral describes it as "partial 16S ribosomal RNA". It matches the Rfam family "Bacterial small subunit ribosomal RNA". The record is from RNAcentral.
AGAGUUUGAUCCUGGCUCAGGACGAACGCUGGCGGCGUGCUUAACACAUGCAAGUCGAACGAAGAGCGAUGGAAGCUUGCUUCUAUCAAUCUUAGUGGCGAACGGGUGAGUAACGCGUAAUCAACCUGCCCUUCAGAGGGGGAUAACAGUUGGAAACGACUGCUAAUACCGCAUACGAUCUAACCUCGGCAUCGAGGAUAGAUGAAAGGUGGCCUCUACAUGUAAGCUAUCACUGAAGGAGGGGAUUGCGUCUGAUUAGCUAGUUGGAGGGGUAACGGCCCACCAAGGCGAUGAUCAGUAGCCGGUCUGAGAGGAUGAACGGCCACAUUGGGACUGAGACACGGCCCAGACUCCUACGGGAGGCAGCAGUGAGGAAUAUUGGACAAUGGUCGGAAGACUGAUCCAGCCAUGCCGCGUGCAGGAUGAAGGUCCUAUGGAUUGUAAACUGCUUUUGUAAGGGAAGAAUAAGGAGUACGUGUACUUUGAUGACGGUACCUUACGAAUAAGCAUCGGCUAACUCCGUGCCAGCAGCCGCGGUAAUACGGAGGAUGCGAGGCGUUAUCCGGAAUCAUUUGGGUUUAAAGGGUCCGUAGGCGGGCUGAUAAGUCAGAGGUGAAAGCGCUUAGCUCAACUAAGCAACUGCCUUUGAAACUGUCAGUCUUGAAUGAUUGUGAAGUAGUUGGAAUGUGUAGUGUAGCGGUGAAAUGCUUAGAUAUUACACAGAACACCGAUAGCGAAAGGCAUAUUACUAACAAUUUAUUGACGCUGAUGGACGAAAGCGUGGGGAGCGAACAGGAUUAGAUACCCUGGUAGUCCACGCUGUAAACGAUGGGAUACUAGCUGUUUGGAGCAAUCUGAGUGCCUAAGCGAAAGUGAUUAGUAUUCCCCCCUGGGGGAGAACGCACGCAAGUGUGAAACUCAAAGGAAUUGACGGGGGCCCGCACAAGCGGAGGGACAUGUGGUUUAAUUCGAUGAUACGCGAGGAACCUUACCCGGGAUUGAAAUGUAGAUGACCGCUCCUGAAAGGGAGUUUUCCUUCGGGACAUCUAUGUAGGUGCUGCAUGGUUGUCGUCAGCUCGUGCCGUGAGGUGUCGGCUUAAGUGCCAUAACGAGCGCAACCCCUGUCUACGGUUGCCAUCAGGUAAUGCUGGGAACUCCGUAGAGACUGCCGUCGUAAGGCGUGAGGAAGGUGGGGAUGACGUCAAAUCAGCACGGCCCUUACAUCCGGGGCGACACACGUGUUACAAUGGUAAGGACAAAGGGCAGCUACCUGGCGACAGGAUGCGAAUCUCUAAACCUUAUCACAGUUCGGAUCGGAGUCUGCAACUCGACUCCGUGAAGCUGGAUUCGCUAGUAAUCGCGCAUCAGCCAUGGCGCGGUGAAUACGUUCCCGGGCCUUGUACACACCGCCCGUCAAGCCAUGGGAGUCUGGAGUACCUAAAGUCCGUAACCGCAAGGGUCGGCCUAGGGUAAUACAGGUGACUGGGGCUAAGUCGUAACAAGGUAACC